UGUAAGUCGAGAAAAUCAAAGUUAAAUUUAUGUAAAUCAAGGGAAAUCUCCACAUAUAAAGAUACGACACGCUUAUGAUUUUUCUUUGUGUUUUCCUCAUGAAUUAGGAAUGAGUUUUUGAAAGUAUAUAUUUAAUUUGUACAAUUUUAGGGAGUGGUCAUAAUUUAUGGGGUUAUGGUAAAUGGAAGGGGAGGGGGGCAAAAUAAUGGCACAUACAUUAAUGGUACAUACAUUAAUGGUACAAACAUUAAUGGUAUAUACAUUGUUUCUUUUCUUUCGAAUUGACUGGGCUAAAAUCUGUGGUGAUAAAUAUGCAAAGGGAUGGUGAUGGUCUACCAGCAAUUUAUCUUUCCCGAGUUUCUGAUGUUGCACAAUCUUUUUAUGCUGCCAAACAUGGAUGUUGUGUUUUCUUGCAAAAAGGUGCUAACAAUUGCAGUUAACAGUCGCAUGCACUGCUAGGAAGUCAUUAUUGCUGAUGAACUUCUUUCAAUAUCUCACAGCGGCUUGGUGGAUCACUAUCCUUUGGAUAUGUAUACCAUAAAUAUAAAUAAUAUGCCUAAAAUAUUUGUAAGAAUGAAAUACGAUUUAGCCGAUGCAAAACAAUAAAAAAUAAAACUUCUGAAUUCGUG
Molecule: non-coding RNA, 629 nt
Organism: Paramuricea clavata
Lineage: Eukaryota; Metazoa; Cnidaria; Anthozoa; Malacalcyonacea; Plexauridae
Source: the annotation of a GenBank genome assembly